CCUACGGGGGGCAGCAGUGAGGAAUAUUGGUCAAUGGGCGCGAGCCUGAACCAGCCAAGUCGCGUGAGGGAAGACGGUCCUAUGGAUUGUAAACCUCUUUUGUCGGGGAGCAAAAGACGCCACGCGUGGCGUUCCGAGAGUACCUGAAGAAAAAGCAUCGGCUAACUCCGUGCCAGCAGCCGCGGUAAUACGGAGGAUGCGAGCGUUAUCCGGAUUUAUUGGGUUUAAAGGGUGCGCAGGCGGAAUGUAAAGUCAGCGGUAAAAUGUCGGGGCACAACCCCGUCGUGCCGUUGAAACUGGCGUUCUUGAGUGAGCGAGAGGUAUGCGGAAUGCGUGGUGUAGCGGUGAAAUGCAUAGAUAUCACGCAGAACUCCGAUUGCGAAGGCAGCAUACCGGCGCUCAACUGACGCUCAUGCACGAAAGCGUGGGUAUCGAACAGGAUUAGAUACCCUUGUAGUC
This 459-nucleotide ribosomal RNA is filed under the name uncultured bacterium. RNAcentral describes it as "partial 16S ribosomal RNA". It matches the Rfam family "Bacterial small subunit ribosomal RNA", at positions 338 to 795 of the family's 1533-position model. The record is from RNAcentral.